UUGGCGGGGAAUUUUCCGCAAUGGGCGAAAGCCUGACGGAGCAAUACCGCGUGAGGGAGGAAGGCUCUUGGGUUGUAAACCUCUUUUCUCAGGGAAUAAGUACUGAAGGUACCUGAGGAAUCAGCAUCGGCUAACUCCGUGCCAGCAGCCGCGGUAAUACGGAGGAUGCAAGCGUUAUCCGGAAUGAUUGGGCGUAAAGCGUCCGCAGGUGGUUUUUCAAGUCUGCUGUCAAAGAGUCUGGCUCAACCAGAUAAAGGCAGUGGAAACUGAGAGACUAGAGUAUGGUAGGGGUAGAGGGAAUUCCUGGUGUAGCGGUGAAAUGGGUAGAGAUCAGGAAGAACACCGGUGGCGAAAGCGCUCUGCUGGACCAUAACUGACACUGAGGACGAAAUGCUUA
This 397-nucleotide ribosomal RNA is filed under the name Scytonema coactile VB517250. RNAcentral's name for it is "bacterial SSU rRNA". It matches the Rfam family "Bacterial small subunit ribosomal RNA", at positions 351 to 763 of the family's 1533-position model. Lineage: Bacteria; Bacillati; Cyanobacteriota; Cyanophyceae; Nostocales; Scytonemataceae. RNAcentral also lists the same sequence under 1 other name. The record is from RNAcentral.